Molecule: ribosomal RNA, 32 nt
Filed under: Citrus japonica (marumi kumquat)
Lineage: Eukaryota; Viridiplantae; Streptophyta; Magnoliopsida; Sapindales; Rutaceae
Description: partial 28S ribosomal RNA
Source: RNAcentral
GCGACCCCAGGUCAGGUGGGAUUACCCGCUGA